AGAGUUUGAUCAUGGCUCAGGAUUAACGCUAGCGGCAGGCCUAAUACAUGCAAGUCGAACGGUAACAUGAGUAGCAAUACUUGAUGACGAGUGGCGCACGGGUGCGUAACGCGUAUGCAAUCUACCUGUAACUGGGGAAUAGCCUUCCGAAAGGAAGAUUAAUACCGCAUAAUAUCACGAUUCGGCAUCGUUUUGUGAUCAAAACUCCGGUGGUUACAGAUGAGCAUGCGUGACAUUAGCUAGUUGGUGAGGUAACGGCUCACCAAGGCGACGAUGUCUAGGGGGUCUGAGAGGAUGAUCCCCCACACUGGUACUGAGACACGGACCAGACUCCUACGGGAGGCAGCAGUAAGGAAUAUUGGACAAUGGCCGCAAGGCUGAUCCAGCCAUGCCGCGUGCAGGAUGAAGGUGCUCUGCAUUGUAAACUGCUUUUGUUCGGGAAUAAACCCUUUCACGUGUGAGAGGUUGAAUGUACCGAAAGAAUAAGGGACGGCUAACUUCGUGCCAGCAGCCGCGGUAAUACGAAGGUCCCAAGCGUUAUCCGGAUUUAUUGGGUUUAAAGGGUGCGUAGGCGGAUUAUUAAGUCAGUGGUGAAAGCUCCCAGCUUAACUGGGAAACUGCCAUUGAUACUGAUGAUCUUGAGUAUGAUUGAAGUGGGCGGAAUGUGUCAUGUAGCGGUGAAAUGCUUAGAUAUGACACAGAACACCGAUUGCGAAGGCAGCUCACUAAGCCAUAACUGACGCUGAUGCACGAAAGCGUGGGGAGCAAACAGGAUUAGAUACCCUAGUAGUCC
This 793-nucleotide ribosomal RNA is filed under the name uncultured bacterium. RNAcentral's name for it is "bacterial SSU rRNA". It matches the Rfam family "Bacterial small subunit ribosomal RNA", at positions 8 to 796 of the family's 1533-position model. The record is from RNAcentral.